GUAGGGUGCGAGCGUUAAUCGGAAUUACUGGGCGUAAAGCGUGCGCAGGCGGUUCGCUAAGUCUGAUGUGAAAGCCCCGGGCUCAACCUGGGAAUGGCAUUGGAAACUGGCGGGCUUGAGUGUGGCAGAGGGGGGUGGAAUUCCACGUGUAGCAGUGAAAUGCGUAGAGAUGUGGAGGAACACCGAUGGCGAAGGCAGCCCCCUGGGCUAACACUGACGCUCAGGCACGAAAGCGUGGGGAGCAAACAGGAUUAGAUACCCUGGUAGUCCACGCCCUAAACUAUGUCAACUGGGUGUUGGGGAAGCGAUUCCUCAGUACCGUAGCUAACGCGUGAAGUUGACCGCCUGGGGAGUACGGCCGCAAGGUUA
Molecule: ribosomal RNA, 369 nt
Filed under: uncultured bacterium
Lineage: Bacteria
Description: bacterial SSU rRNA
Rfam family: Bacterial small subunit ribosomal RNA
Source: RNAcentral